RNAcentral lists this long non-coding RNA (392 nucleotides) under Marmota monax (woodchuck). The record is from RNAcentral. Lineage: Eukaryota; Metazoa; Chordata; Mammalia; Rodentia; Sciuridae.
GUUGAUCCUUAACAGACACCUGCUAUGAGAAGAGGAGGUGUCCAUCCCAGCCUGCAGGUGACAUGUUCCUCAGUGUAUGAUGAAGCAGUGUCACUGAAGUCUCUUCAUCAAAUGAGCUCCUGAGUCAGUUAUCUGGCUGCACAGCCAGGAACCCUGAGUCAUUCUGGACACCUCCUUUUGUCUUAACCCUGAGUCCAUCCCAUCAUUAAUCACUCCAAGAAUAGCUACAAUCUGUCCCCCUCUCCCCACUACCCCCAUGUAGUGACUGACUGUCACCCAGACUACCCAGAGUCUCCUAACUGGUCCUCCCACCCUCUCUCUAUAUUCUGCACAUGGAAUUUCACAUUUACUCAUGCACAUAUGUGACCCCACACACAGGUUGCUUAAAGCCC